AUCAAAUGGAGAGUUUGAUCCUGGCUCAGGAUGAAC
This 36-nucleotide ribosomal RNA is filed under the name Longicatena caecimuris. RNAcentral describes it as "partial 16S ribosomal RNA". Lineage: Bacteria; Bacillati; Bacillota; Erysipelotrichia; Erysipelotrichales; Erysipelotrichaceae. The record is from RNAcentral.